CCAGAGAGCAAGACAACAGAGCAGCAGGGUCACACCCUGGCUUGCAGGGCCAGCUUCUGGCAACUGCCACAGGCCUGCCACACUCAGCCAUGAAGAAAGAAGGGAUUUCUUUUCCCACACAGAAACACCCCAAGCAGGAACAGAAACAGAUCUUUUGUGCCCACCAAUAUGUGUCUGUCUUGCCCAGCCUGUCAUUGUCCAGGGCUGUGGGUAGUGGAGGAGCCACUGGUUCUUGACUAGUUCUGCAGAAGCCCUGGGUCAAAGGCCUCCGCUGACAGCAUCCAGAAGUGUGUGCUUCUCCAUCCUGGCCACACUCUCAAAUCACUGGCGGAAAGGGCAUGGGAGAACACAGUGAGAAGACAGCAGUCUGAGAGCCCGGAAGAGCGCCCUCACCAGAAACCAAAUGUGUCAGCACCUUGCUCAGGGACUUCCAGCCUCCGGAACUGUGAGGAAACAAAAUGUCUGUUUUGGAGCCGCCCAGGCUGUGGGGUUUUGGUAAGGCAGCCUGAGCAGACUAAUGCAACAGCCUCAACAAAACUGCAAUCGAUGAGAAAAAAACAGUGGGCUUGAAGAAAAAAAUGAAUUCCAGUCAAAAUCUCAACAGUUUCAUUUGGGAGCUUCACUCCUCAGCCAGUGAGACCAGGAACCUACCAGAAGAAAGAAACUCCAAACGCAUCUGAAGGUCGGAAGGAGCAAACUCUGGACACGCUGCUUUUAAGAACUGUAACACCAUGAGGGUCUGCGGCUUCAUUCUUGAAACCAGUGAGAUCAAGAACCCACCAAUUACAAACACAACACCUCAACAACACCUCAUGAGCAGGCAGAGAUGAGGCCACGGACGCGCACAGAGGGAGCAGCAUGCGAGGACCCGAGGAGGAGAAGACCACCUGCAGGCCAAGGAGAGGGGCCAUGGGGGAACCCACCCUGCCUACGCCCUGAUCCCCGACUUCCAGCCUCCAGAAUUGUGUGACAAUAAAUGUCUGUUGUCGAAGGCCCCUGUGUGUGGUGUGUGUCACGGCGAAUUUGGAAACUCAUACAUUGCUGUAUAUACAUUUUCUCUAAAUCUUAAAAGCAGUCUACAAAGAGGAAUCAUCGACUCCCCUUUUUCAGGU
Molecule: long non-coding RNA, 1112 nt
Filed under: Homo sapiens (human)
Lineage: Eukaryota; Metazoa; Chordata; Mammalia; Primates; Hominidae
Description: HSALNT0310424
Source: RNAcentral